GUGAACGCUGGCGGUAGGCCUAACACAUGCAAGUCGAACGGCAGCACAGUAAGAGCUUGCUCUUACGGGUGGCGAGUGGCGGACGGGUGAGGAAUACAUCGGAAUCUACUUUUUCGUGGGGGAUAACGUAGGGAAACUUACGCUAAUACCGCAUACGACCUACGGGUGAAAGCAGGGGAUCUUCGGACCUUGCGCGAUUGAAUGAGCCGAUGUCGGAUUAGCUAGUUGGCGGGGUAAAGGCCCACCAAGGCGACGAUCCGUAGCUGGUCUGAGAGGAUGAUCAGCCACACUGGAACUGGGACACGGUCCAGACUCCUACGGGAGGCAGCAGUGGGGAAUAUUGGACAAUGGGCGCAAGCCUGAUCCAGCCAUACCGCGUGGGUGAAGAAGGCCUUCGGGUUGUAAAGCCCUUUAGUUGGGAAAGAAAAGCAGCAGGUUAAUACCCCGCUGUUCUGACGGUACCCAAAGAAUAAGCACCGGCUAACUUCGUG
RNAcentral lists this ribosomal RNA (491 nucleotides) under uncultured bacterium. RNAcentral describes it as "partial 16S ribosomal RNA". It matches the Rfam family "Bacterial small subunit ribosomal RNA", at positions 29 to 507 of the family's 1533-position model. The record is from RNAcentral.